GCCAAAUCGAUUGGGGCCUGAAAAACUGAUGAUUGAGCAAAGCUCGCUGACCUGAGCUAAAAUUGCGCAGCCGUUGACGUGGCGAGACCUAAUUCGGUAACCCGGUUCCUCUCCCACCACAUACACAUCAAUCCGUCUCCAGUGCUGAGCUCGAACGCAAGCGUCAGAUUUUGGUCGUAACAUCGAAUUUGAGUAAUUUCAAUCACAAUAUUGUUUACCAACUUGUAUUUGUUUCAAUUAUUUUCAAAUUCCAGAAUUUGGUGAUCUUCCCCUCCCCCAAUUAGCUUUUGAUCUUUUCUCCUUCUCUUCUGUCAAUAUUUGAUUCGAAAAUGUGAGAUUUUUCUUUCACUGUUAUGAAUUUGAAAAUCAUUGUUGGUGAAGUGCAUCAAGUUGAUCAAUGUAUUAGUUUCUUUAUUCGAAUUUGACUACUUAUUUCCAAAUUGCGUCUCAUUGCCUGUUGAACAGUGCUGCAUGCUCUACAUAAUCCACAAGUUGCUGAAAUAAUUAGUACGUUUCUAGGAAUGGUUUUAUUUUGUUUACUCACCUCUUCGCCAUGACAUCAUUGAACCUGGAAUUUCAGUGUUCAGUCACCUUAUUUCCUAGAUUUGCAAGCUCUGUUUUAUUGUACUAUAUUUUUAUAUAUGUACAUUACAUAUUUUAGGACAUGUAUAUGAUUUAUAUAAUGCUUAUUUUCACAGAUGAAACAUUUGAGUUAUGCGGAUUUGUUUAGUGAUUCUUUAAGCAUUAGAAAUAUGAAUUACUAGUAUACUUCAUAUUCUUAUUUAGAAAUUAAUGUAGUACUAUGUUUUUUUUAAAUUUCUCUAUGUCAGUGAGUGUUUUCUAAAUCCUUUUGAGUGGCAGAGAAAUAACUCAGCAAGGAUAGCUUAAACAUGUCAGCUCUCUUCAAUUUCCAUUCGUUCCUGACAGUAGUAUUGCUGGGCAUAUGUGUCUGCACAGUGCACAUAUUUGAAGAUGCAGUUUCCUGCGCUUCUUGAACAUAGAACUGGGUUUCGAGGGGUUUUCUGGAAAGCUGCUACAAUAGGUGGCCGUGGGGAGCUUUGCAAUGGGGGUUUCAAUAAUUUUCUUCUAAACAGACUCUCUGUCUGUUAGACGUUCUUCUUUGCUGCGUUCAAUUGCUGCUUCAGCGCUUUCUUCGACUUCAGAUUCUGUACCCCAGUGAAGUGGAUAACUCCUCAGGAACACCCUUCUUGUGUUGUAGUCUUCGUCCCUGAAACUUUUUGCUCUCAGUCCAUCUUCCUCCAUGCUGUUGAUAUCUUAUUUUUACUUGCUCCUAGUACCAACCUCCGAGACACUCUGUUUUAUAGGUGCCUCGACAAUGCGUGAGUGAGUAUGUGCUGUAUUAAGCUUACAAAAUGCGUAUAACAAUCCCUUUUGAGUUCCUAUUGUGUUAACUAGUUUUUAUUUGUAUACUGCAUUUGUCGUUUAUCGAUUUCAGGUGUGAAUACUUUAGAAGUAUUUGCUUUGUGGCAGCGCAUGACAGGCAAAGAUGGUGCAUUCUAUGCUGCUGCACUUCCUAGGUGAUUUAUUUAUCUUUGAUGAGAGCCAUUUCAUGAUUGUGCUUUUUUGGAAUCUUUGGGUCUGUCCAAUUUAUUGAUCUUGUUAGCUUGUGCAUGACGUAGAAGAUGUUUGAGGAAUUUGGAACUGUCACACUUGAUUGGCCGGAAUUCUAUUUUGGAAGCUUUCUACCAUUGGCCAUUAAUUCGGAUAUGAGAAGCUCUUUCGGAUAUGAGAAGCUCUUUUUUAAAGUCCAAGUUUGUGAGAGACAUAUGAACCUCAUGUAUGUCUCAUAUGAAAAUGUACGAGUCUUAUGCGUCUUUUCAUCUACUUCUUCUUCUAUUGGACUCAAUUCAAGUGAAAGCUACAUGAAUCUCAUAAAA
This is a long non-coding RNA of Salvia splendens (bonfire salvia), 1898 nucleotides long. RefSeq lists it as uncharacterized. NCBI's taxonomy places the organism in Eukaryota, Viridiplantae, Streptophyta, Magnoliopsida, Lamiales, Lamiaceae. The record is from RefSeq and is a predicted model, not a curated record. The transcript is spliced from 6 exons.